Molecule: ribosomal RNA, 694 nt
Filed under: uncultured bacterium
Lineage: Bacteria
Description: bacterial SSU rRNA
Rfam family: Bacterial small subunit ribosomal RNA
Source: RNAcentral
GAAAGUCGGAUUAAUACCCCAUAAAACAGGGGUCCCGCAUGGGAAUAUUUGUUAAAGAUUCAUCGCUGAUAGAUAGGCAUGCGUUCCAUUGGGCAGUUGGCGGGGUAACGGCCCACCAAACCGACGAUGGAUAGGGGUUCUGAGAGGAAGGUCCCCCACAUUGGUACUGAGACACGGACCAAACUCCUACGGGAGGCAGCAGUGAGGAAUAUUGGUCAAUGGCCGAGAGGCUGAACCAGCCAAGUCGCGUGAAGGAAGAAGGAUCUAUGGUUUGUAAACUUCUUUUAUAGGGGAAUAAAGUGGAGGACGUGUCCUUUUUUGUAUGUACCCUAUGAAUAAGCAUCGGCUAACUCCGUGCCAGCAGCCGCGGUAAUACGGAGGAUGCGAGCGUUAUCCGGAUUUAUUGGGUUUAAAGGGUGCGUAGGUGGUGAUUUAAGUCAGCGGUGAAAGUUUGUGGCUCAACCAUAAAAUUGCCGUUGAAACUGGGUUACUUGAGUGUGUUUGAGGUAGGCGGAAUGCGUGGUGUAGCGGUGAAAUGCAUAGAUAUCACGCAGAACUCCGAUUGCGAAGGCAGCUUACUAAACCAUAACUGACACUGAAGCACGAAAGCGUGGGGAUCAAACAGGAUUAGAUACCCUGGUAGUCCACGCAGUAAACGAUGAUUACUAGGAGUUUGCGAUACAAUGUAAGCUCU